GAAAAAUUUCUUUGUAAAUUUUUUUUAUACUAAAAUAUAUAACACUAUAAAAAUCAUUUUUAAAAAAAGCCAAAACAAACGGGCCCUAUAACAUAUACAAGUUAUCCAUUUCAAAUCUACACCAAGCUCUCUAAAUUUCACCCCUUCGACCGCAAAUUCGACCUGCUGAAAUGAAACGCAAUGCAACUGGCAUACCUACGUAAGACGGCAGAACGCAAUCAUUAAACCUGAACUGCCACACCAGAAUAAUCAAGCAGCAGGCCCUGAAAAACAUGAAAAAAAUCACUUGUAAGUAAUGAUUAACAGAACAUCAUACCAAGGCCACUCACACCAGGCUAAGUGCACUGAUCAACUCAUUUUGGUGGUCUCAAUCAAUUAAUCAGUUACGUGUGAAAAUAUUACUAAUUAAGAAAGAAUCACGUCAGAUAGAUUUAACGGAAUUAGAAUUAACCGACACGUUCUAAUGUAACAGAAUUUAAUUAAAGUUACACGAUAAACCAAUGGAGAUACAAUGCGAAGAAUCAAAACCAUCAUAAGCAUAUAAUAGAUUCAUUCGUAAUGACACCAAGUUCGAUAGCAGGUUCGACUUGAUUAACAAUCAACUAAUUACUUCUAUAACCGUCUCUAGUUAGAUUAACUAAGUUUUUUUCUUCUUUCUCUAAAUCAUUCAACAAAAUGUAAAACAAAAUUAGAAACUAGUUUCAAUUUAAACCAACCUAACUCUACUAACAUUCACCGACUUAUAACCGAAAUUUUAAUAGAAAUCAUAUUUCUCAUAACUCGGGCUAACAACCCACAUCACACCCAUAGCAGUAACAGAAAUUAGAAAAAUAAUUCCAUCAAUAAUUCAUUUAGUUUUCAGUUUGAGUUUUAAAAUGGGCAUUUUUUUCACUAUUUAAGUUUCAUUUUAAAUUCAACUAAUUAAUCAUGUUUGAAUUUCAAUCCCAACUCCAUAUCAUUCACUGACCAAUUCUCAACUAACUAACAUCAAUUAACAACUAAAACUAACCUAUAACAAACUCUAACUAACUAACUAAUUCCUGAUUUCAAGGUAAUUUCGAGUGAAUCCUCACUCCACUUCAAACUGGAUUUCUAACCGACUCUCACCAACUUAACAAGAUCGACUCAUCUUUAACAGAGAGUUUCUAACCGAAAUUCCGGGCACCUACCCUAAUGAAACUAACAUGCCCUAAUCAGUUGCAGACUCAUCACUAUAUAUUGAUGACCUUCUCCAAUCAUUGGAGUUUCAGAAUCACCAAUCUCCAAUUCUCACACUAUCGCAUUGCAGAACCGCAUCUCCACCUUCUCCCUCACCAAAGCUCUUCCAGUAAGACGCCAUUGAAGCUUCACGUGGAAGCUUCAAUCGGCGGAGCUUAGACCACACGCCAAGUUCUCUCAACAGCGCAUCGGAACCGCCAACCGAAGCGGCCAAACGCAAGGAACACAACACAAAGAGAAGAAGCACGGAGGAGAAGAAGCGGAAGGAGGAAGGAAACACUUACAUGAAGAGGAAGGAGAGGGGCGUCGCAAGAGUACCUGAGGAUCUUCAUACAGGUUCGGCACAUUCGUCCACAGUUCCGAAUUCAACAAUCACCGAGGAAAUUCUCCUCCUCGCAGGUAGGAAAUCGUACUUGAUUCACGUUUUUCUUGUUACCAAUUUAUAGCCUGACGUGAACGGAAGCCAAGCCCUCGCACCUGGGGUUCUAAUUCCAACUGGUCGAUGCUUAAUUUCUGAAAUAGGCAAUUAAGGUUUUGAGCCGUUUGUGUUGAUUAAGGAUUUCGUGUAGAUGAACAUAAGAUGGAGAUGUUGUUGUUUGAUAGUGUAUGGUUGAAAUUUCGCCGCCGGAGGCGACUCCGGCACGGUGUAGGAAUGUUUUUCGGGUCGAAGUACAUGCAUAUGGAUUAAGCCUUCCGAUUUUGUUUGUGGGAUGAAACGCGUAUAGCACGGACCUCUUCUCCCUGUGAGUUGGUAUUGGGCUCGAGAUUACCCUUGGCUGUGUUAAUUAGCCCCUAAUAUGAAUAUUAGAUUUAGAUCUUUAGCAUAUUAGGACUUUAGAGCAAUUAUGC
RNAcentral lists this long non-coding RNA (2067 nucleotides) under Lathyrus oleraceus (garden pea). Its description in RNAcentral is "Pisum sativum (pea) long non-coding RNA (PSAT_LNC030274)". The record is from RNAcentral. Lineage: Eukaryota; Viridiplantae; Streptophyta; Magnoliopsida; Fabales; Fabaceae.